This 218-nucleotide ribosomal RNA is filed under the name Clostridium botulinum. RNAcentral's name for it is "partial 16S ribosomal RNA". It matches the Rfam family "Bacterial small subunit ribosomal RNA", at positions 1 to 213 of the family's 1533-position model. Lineage: Bacteria; Bacillati; Bacillota; Clostridia; Eubacteriales; Clostridiaceae. The record is from RNAcentral.
UUUAAAUUUAGAGUUUGAUCCUGGCUCAGGACGAACGCUGGCGGCGUGCUUAACACAUGCAAGUCGAGCGAUGAAGUUUCCUUCGGGAAGCGGAUUAGCGGCGGACGGGUGAGUAACACGUGGGUAACCUGCCUCAAAGUGGGGGAUAGCCUUCCGAAAGGAAGAUUAAUACCGCAUAAUAUGAGAGAAUCGCAUGAUUUUCUUAUCAAAGAUUUAUU